RNAcentral lists this unclassified non-coding RNA (362 nucleotides) under soil metagenome. RNAcentral describes it as "partial contains 5.8S ribosomal RNA, internal transcribed spacer 2, and large subunit ribosomal RNA". The stretch from base 1 to 120 matches the Rfam family "5.8S ribosomal RNA", at positions 35 to 154 of the family's 154-position model. The record is from RNAcentral.
GAUGAAGAACGUAGCGAAAUGCGAUAAGUAAUGUGAAUUGCAGAAUUCAGUGAAUCAUCGAAUCUUUGAACGCACCUUGCGCUCCUUGGUAUUCCGAGGAGCAUGCCUGUUUGAGUGUCAUUAAUAUAUCAACCUUCUCUUUUUUGAGUUGUUUGGAUGUGGGGGUUUGCUGGCCUCUUAAAUGAUUCAGCUCCCCUGAAAUGCAUUAGCAGAACAACCUGUUCAUUAGCGUGAUAAUUAUCUAUGCUAUUGAAUGUGAGGGAAGUUCAGCUUUCUAACCGUCCUUGGACAAUUCAUCAUUAAUGUGACCUCAAAUCAGGUAGGACUACCCGCUGAACUUAAGCAUAUCAAUAAGCGGAGGA